Molecule: ribosomal RNA, 562 nt
Filed under: Gibellulopsis nigrescens
Lineage: Eukaryota; Fungi; Ascomycota; Sordariomycetes; Glomerellales; Plectosphaerellaceae
Description: eukaryotic LSU rRNA
Rfam family: 5.8S ribosomal RNA (bases 191-344)
Source: RNAcentral
AAAAAUCGUAACAAGGUCUCCGUUGGUGAACCAGCGGAGGGAUCAUUACCGAGUACUAUAACUCAUAACCCUUUGUGAACCUUCAUACCUGUUGCUUCGGCGGCGCGCCUCCCGGGGCGUGCCCGCCGGCAUUAUCAGAAUCUCUGUUCGAACCCGACGAUACUUCUGAGUGUUCUAAGCGAACUGUUAAAACUUUCAACAACGGAUCUCUUGGCUCCAGCAUCGAUGAAGAACGCAGCGAAACGCGAUAUGUAAUGUGAAUUGCAGAAUUCAGUGAAUCAUCGAAUCUUUGAACGCACAUGGCGCCUUCCAGUAUCCUGGGAGGCAUGCCUGUCCGAGCGUCGUUUCAACCCUCGAGCCCCCGUGGCCCGGCGUUGGGGACCUGCCCAGGCAGUCCCCGAAAACCAGUGGCGGACCCGACGGGCCCUUCCUUUGCGUAGUAACAUCUGCCUCGCAUCGGGAGCCCCCGGGCUAUCCGGCCUCUAAACCCCCCUCAAGCCCGCUCCGGCGGCACCAAGGUUGACCUCGGAUCAGGUAGGAAUACCCGCUGAACUUAAGCAUA